Molecule: ribosomal RNA, 398 nt
Filed under: uncultured bacterium
Lineage: Bacteria
Description: partial 16S ribosomal RNA
Rfam family: Bacterial small subunit ribosomal RNA
Source: RNAcentral
AUACGUAGGGUGCGAGCGUUGUCCGGAAUUACUGGGCGUAAAGAGCUCGUAGGUGGUUUGUCGCGUCGUCUGUGAAAUUCCGGGGCUUAACUCCGGGCGUGCAGGCGAUACGGGCAUAACUUGAGUACUGUAGGGGAGACUGGAAUUCCUGGUGUAGCGGUGAAAUGCGCAGAUAUCAGGAGGAACACCGGUGGCGAAGGCGGGUCUCUGGUCAGUAAAUGACGAUGAGGAGCGAAAGCAUGGGUAGCGAACAGGAUUAGAUACCCUGGUAGUCCAGGCCGUAAACGGUGGGCGCUAGGUGUAGGGGUCUUCCACGACUUCUGUGCCGUAGCUAACGCAUUAAGCGCCCCGCCUGGGGAGUACGGCCGCAAGGCUAAAACUCAAAGGAAUUGACGGGG